RNAcentral lists this RNase P RNA (345 nucleotides) under Gottschalkia purinilytica. RNAcentral describes it as "Clostridium purinilyticum Bacterial RNase P class A". It matches the Rfam family "Bacterial RNase P class A". Rfam says of the family: Ribonuclease P (RNase P) is a ubiquitous endoribonuclease, found in archaea, bacteria and eukarya as well as chloroplasts and mitochondria. Its best characterised activity is the generation of mature 5'-ends of tRNAs by cleaving the 5'-leader elements of precursor-tRNAs. Lineage: Bacteria; Bacillati; Bacillota; Tissierellia; Tissierellales; Gottschalkiaceae. The record is from Rfam by way of RNAcentral.
UGAGUAAGUCAGAUGAUCGCAUGCGUAAGCAUGAGGAAAGUCCGAGCUCCAUAGGGCAAGAUGCUGGGUAACACCCAGUGGGGGUAACCCCAAGGAUAGUGCAACAGAAAUAAACCGCCUAAGUUUAUACUUAGGUAAGGAUGGAAAGGUGAGGUAAGAGCUCACCAGCAACUAGGCGACUAGUUGGCUCUGUAAACCCCAUCUGGAGCAAGACCAAGUUAGGGAGAUUUGGAGGUGGCUGCCCGUCACCUUCCCGUAUGGUAGGUUGCUUGAACCCAUUGGCAACAAUGGGUCUAGAUAGAUGAUCGUCUAAUACAGAACUCGGCUUAUAGGCUUAGUCACUUG